GAGACAGUUCGGUCCCUAUCCGUCGUGGGCGUAGGAAAUUUGAGAGGAGCUGUCCUUAGUACGAGAGGACCGGGAUGGACGCACCGCUGGUGUACCAGUUGUUCUGCCAAGGGCAUAGCUGGGUAGCUAUGUGCGGAAGGGAUAAGUGCUGAAAGCAUCUAAGCAUGAAGCCCCCCUCAAGAUGAGAUUUCCCAUAGCGUAAGCUAGUAAGAUCCCUGAAAGAUGAUCAGGUUGAUAGGUUCGAGGUGGAAGCAUGGUGACAUGUGGAGCU
This 271-nucleotide ribosomal RNA is filed under the name Xenorhabdus szentirmaii. RNAcentral's name for it is "partial 23S ribosomal RNA". It matches the Rfam family "Bacterial large subunit ribosomal RNA", at positions 2623 to 2892 of the family's 2925-position model. Lineage: Bacteria; Pseudomonadati; Pseudomonadota; Gammaproteobacteria; Enterobacterales; Morganellaceae. The record is from RNAcentral.